CACGCGUUGCCACGGGCGACCGGAGCCGCCGGGGGCGCCCGCGACCCCGCGGCCCCGCUGAGCCAGUUGCGAGGGAACUGCGGGAAUGGCUCUGCCUAGUUUAGGACGCGGUUCUUAGCAGGAGACAGUCGCAGGGCGCGGGCACUCAAGGGCGGCCCACAGCCCAGGAAGCAGUCGCCCUGCGUGAUAAGCGCAGAGGGGACUCGGAAACAGGUGCAUGUCGGGGACCUGCACACCACUGCCUGCGGGAGACGUACCGUUCGUUCAGUAUCCCAACAUUUAUUGCGCUCCUAAGAGUGCUCUCCAAGUCGGAAAAAUCUCUGCCCCCGACAUGGGCAAAGGGUGCAGGCAGACCUUCAACGAAAGAAAAAGAGGUGAAUGGCCCAGAGGCUCAUGAAAAGAGGCUUACCAUACAGAGUCAUCAGGGAAAUGCAAAUCAAACCACUUCAGGGUUGAAGAGAAGGGAAGGGAAGGGACCACUUCACUCCUACUAGGAUGGCCUAUGAAAAAGAAAACAAAGGUCUUGCUUUUGGGUGUGGCUUCCCUCUCUACUUCCUGCGCCCUGGACCUAUCUCCUUCCCCCAGAACGUGCUUGGGGUGAAUCACACCUGGGACUCCGCCUCGGAGCCUUCCAGAGUCAGCACAUCGCGUGGCCCGCGGGGAAGCCCUGCGUGAACGUUAGCCUGAGUCACAAAACACGGUCGAGAUGACGUCCUCGUAAGCCAGCCAAGGCCACUGCAAAGUCAACCCGGAGUCACCUUUUGAACAUGCAGGAAGAAAAUAAAAAAAAGCAUCCGGAUGUCAGCUCCACGAGGCCAGACUCUCGCUCUAUGCCCUCUGUGCCCGUGACCGCCCGCCACACGGUAGAUGUUCCAUACAUGUUUGCGGAAAUGAAUGCCCUGAACGUUUAAACCAGCAGCGGG
Lynx canadensis (Canada lynx) is the source of this 923-nucleotide long non-coding RNA. RefSeq lists it as uncharacterized. The record is from RefSeq and is a predicted model, not a curated record. NCBI's taxonomy places the organism in Eukaryota, Metazoa, Chordata, Mammalia, Carnivora, Felidae. The transcript has 2 exons.